GAUCUUCAACGAGGAAUUCCUAGUAAGCGCGAGUCAUCAGCUCGCGUUGACUACGUCCCUGCCCUUUGUACACACCGCCCGUCGCUCCUACCGAUUGAAUGGUCCGGUGAAGUUUUCGGAUUGCGGCGACGCCGGCGGUUCGCCGCCGGUGACGUUGUGAGAAGUUCAUUAAACCUUAUCAUUUAGAGGAAGGAGAAGUCGUAACAAGGUUUCCGUAGGUGAACCUGCGGAAGGAUCAUUG
RNAcentral lists this ribosomal RNA (241 nucleotides) under Homalothecium nuttallii. RNAcentral's name for it is "partial 18S ribosomal RNA". It matches the Rfam family "Eukaryotic small subunit ribosomal RNA", at positions 1595 to 1831 of the family's 1831-position model. The record is from RNAcentral. RNAcentral also lists the same sequence under 7 other names. Lineage: Eukaryota; Viridiplantae; Streptophyta; Bryopsida; Hypnales; Brachytheciaceae.